UUCUGUUUUAAGGGCACAAUGUGUUAAACAUCAGAAGUUAAGUUAUUUUUAUUUGUUUUUAACUUAAACUUUCUUUUCCAUUAUUUUCAUUGAGUUUGUUCAGUAAUUUUAAAAAUCUAAUACAUUUUAUCUAUCAUUGCAAGGUUUUAACUCGUAGCAUGAAAGCUGAAAAAUAGAUUUUUGCUUCAACGAAUGCUAAUCAUUAACAAGUAAAUGUUAAAGCGCUGUCAUUGCACUGUGUUAACUCUGUUGCGGAAGAACCGACUUUUUCUAACUUUAUAUGUGCUUUAAAACUAGGCUAUUUUUAUAGCCACUAAUAUGUUAAAAACAUUACUAAGCAAAUGGGAAUACAAUCAUUUA
Molecule: non-coding RNA, 360 nt
Organism: Hydra vulgaris (swiftwater hydra)
Lineage: Eukaryota; Metazoa; Cnidaria; Hydrozoa; Anthoathecata; Hydridae
Source: RefSeq, a predicted model, not a curated record